This is a long non-coding RNA of Herpailurus yagouaroundi (jaguarundi), 1612 nucleotides long. RefSeq lists it as uncharacterized. NCBI's taxonomy places the organism in Eukaryota, Metazoa, Chordata, Mammalia, Carnivora, Felidae. The record is from RefSeq and is a predicted model, not a curated record. The transcript has 2 exons.
GCAGUUUUAAAAAAAAUGAUGCCUCUCAUUUUAUUGUCUGCCUUUGGUGGAUUUCCAGCACCCUGACGCGGUUGUUAUUGACCAUUUUCCCUAAUACACACGCACACGCAUGCACGCGCAUAUUUGGUUGGUUGGUUGGUUGGUUGGUCGGUUGUUUUUACAGAGAGGAAUUGACUACCUCUUUAUAUAGGACUGUGCUCACCUUCUUCUCAUUCUUUACUGUCUUUUCAGGUGAAGAAAGUGAGUCUCAAAGAAUGAAGCGAUUCGCCCUAGGUCACGCAGCUGUGACGUAGGGGAGCUAGAAUUACACUGUGGGGCUCUAUUUGUAAAUUAAAAAAGGCACUUUUAAGAAGUAUGGCUGACAUACAAUAAUUUAUACUCAUUUAAACCAUACACCCUGACAGGUUUUGACAUAUGCGUAUGCACAUUAACGCCAUCAAGAUAGUGAACAUCUCAUUGUAUGUUUCUUUAUACUCUUUCUUCCCUUCCCACAUCUCUAGGCAACCACUGAUUUACUUUCACUCUAGUUUGCAUUUCCUAGAAUUGCAUGUUGGUGCAACCACACAGAAUAUACUUUCUUUUGUCUAUCUUUUUUCACUCAGCAUAAUUUAUCCAUAUAUAUCAGCAGUUUGUUUCUUCUUAUUGUGAAAUAGUAUUCCAUCGUAUGGACAGGCGAGGGUUCGGCUAUUUUUCUGUUGAUGGAUGUUUGUAUUAUGUCCAGGUUUGGGUUAUUACAAAUAAAUCUGCAGACAUUUGUGUACAAGUCUUCGUGUGCUUUCAUUGCUCUUGGGUUAUAUUUAGGAGCAGUAUAGCUGGGUCAUACGGAAGGUGAACGUUCAGCAUUUAAAAUAAGUUUUAAUUUGGAAUAAUUUUAGAUUUACUGACGUUUCAAAGAUAGCACAGACAGUUUAGUUUCCGUUAUUAUUAGCAUCUUACAUCCCUAUCAUGCAUUUGUCAAAGUGAAGAAACGGACACUGAUACGUGACUAUUAAUUAAGCUCCAGACUUUUUCACAUUUCAGCCCUUUUCCCAGUUACACUAUCUUUCUCUUUCAGGAUCCAGUUCAGGGCACCACGUUGCAUCUAGUUGUCAAGUCUCCCCCCAGUCUCUUCUGGUCUGUUACAGUCUCUAAGCGGUUCCCUUCUCUUCAUGACCUUGGCAGUCUGGAAAAAUAGUGGCCAGUUAUCCUGUGGAAUGGGAUAGCAAGUCCUUCCAUCUGGAUUUCUGACGUUUCCUCCUCAUGAUAGAACUGGGUGCAUGAGCUUUGGGAACAACCACCGCAGAAGUGAGGUGCCCUUCUCAUGAUAUCCGGGUUUUGGCCACUGGAGUCUCUUUUAGGCUACUCCUGUGUCUUUUGUUCCUGCUGCCAUGUCCACAUGUUCAAUUUCUGGUACUACAAGAUGCCGAAAAUACAUCUACAGUCUCCGUGCCCAACCCCCAGAAUCUGUUAUUUCUUCAAGGAGAAUGGUGUUUGGAAACUAAGAUCUGGGACCUAGCAUGCUCAUUAUUGCCGGGGUGUCACUGCUUCUGGGCCUCUUGGGGGACUGAGGUAUGUGAGGUAUGUCAAAACUGACAUAGUACGUAUUUUACUAUAAAUACUAAGCUAACCAUGA